CCUGCAGUCGAGCGAGGCGGCCCGCAAGGGUCAGUCGAGCGGCGAACGGGUGAGUAACGCGUGGAUUAUCUACCCUGAGGUGGGGGAUAACCCGGGGAAACUCGGGCUAAUACCGCAUAUGACCGUGAGGUCAAAGGGGGGUCGCAAGAUCUCUCGCCAUAGGAGGAGUCCGCGUUCGAUUAGCUAGUUGGUAGGGUAAUGGCCUACCAAGGCAACGAUCGAUAGCCGGCCUGAGAGGGUGAUCGGCCACACUGGAACUGAGACACGGUCCAGACUCCUACGGGAGGCAGCAGUGGGGAGUUUUGCGCAAUGGGCUAACGCCUGACGCAGCAACGCCGCGUGGAGGAUGAAGGUCUUUGGAUUGUAAACUCCUGUCGACCGGGAAAAAGCAACCCGACCUAAUACGUCGGGGAGUUGAUUGUACCGGUGGAGGAAGCCCCGGCUAACUCUGUGCCAGCAGCCGCGGUAAUACAGAGGGGGCAAGCGUUAUUCGGAAUUAUUGGGCGUAAAGGGCGCGUAGGCGGCCUGGCAAGUGGAAGGUGAAAUCCCUCGGCUUAACCGAGGAACUGCCCUCCAAACUGCUUGGCUUGAGUCCGGGAGAGGUGAGUGGAAUUCCCAGUGUAGCGGUGAAAUGCGUAGAUAUUGGGAGGAACACCAGUGGCGAAGGCGGCUCACUGGACCGGAACUGACGCUGAGGCGCGAAAGCGUGGGGAGCAAACGGGAUUAGAUACCCCGGUAGUCCACGCCGUAAACGAUGAGUGCUUGGUGUAGCGGGUAUCGACCCCUGCUGUGCCGAAGUCAACACAUUAAGCACUCCGCCUGGGGAGUACGGUCGCAAGGCUGAAACUCAA
RNAcentral lists this ribosomal RNA (851 nucleotides) under uncultured bacterium. RNAcentral describes it as "bacterial SSU rRNA". It matches the Rfam family "Bacterial small subunit ribosomal RNA", at positions 54 to 904 of the family's 1533-position model. The record is from RNAcentral.